This 484-nucleotide ribosomal RNA is filed under the name uncultured bacterium. RNAcentral's name for it is "partial 16S ribosomal RNA". It matches the Rfam family "Bacterial small subunit ribosomal RNA", at positions 30 to 507 of the family's 1533-position model. The record is from RNAcentral.
AUUGAACGCUGGCGGCAGGCCUAACACAUGCAAGUCGAGCGGAUGAAGGGAGCUUGCUCCUGGAUUCAGCGGCGGACGGGUGAGUAAUGCCUAGGAAUCUGCCUGGUAGUGGGGGAUAACGUCCGGAAACGGGCGCUAAUACCGCAUACGUCCUGAGGGAGAAAGUGGGGGAUCUUCGGACCUCUCGCUAUCAGAUGAGCCUAGGUCGGAUUAGCUAGUUGGUGGGGUAAAGGCCUACCAAGGCGACGAUCCGUAACUGGUCUGAGAGGAUGAUCAGUCACACUGGAACUGAGACACGGUCCAGACUCCUACGGGAGGCAGCGGUGGGGAAUAUUGGACAAUGGGCGAAAGCCUGAUCCAGCCAUGCCGCGUAUGUGAAGAAGGUCUUCGGAUUGUAAAGCACUUUAAGUUGGGAGGAAGGGCAGUAAGUUAAUACCUUGCUGUUUUGACGGUACCAACAGAAUAAGCACCGGCUAACUUCGUG